RNAcentral lists this long non-coding RNA (354 nucleotides) under Coturnix japonica (Japanese quail). RNAcentral describes it as "lncRNA (ENSCJPG00005012129.1)". The record is from RNAcentral. Lineage: Eukaryota; Metazoa; Chordata; Aves; Galliformes; Phasianidae.
UGGUAUUUCAGUAGCUAGCUCACGUUGCAGAAUCAUAACUGGUCCUCUGGCCAGAAGAAUCCAGCUUCAGAUAACUCAUCAAUGAAGUAAUGGGUGAAGAUUCAGGGCAGGAAACAAUUUUCUCCCAUUCCUACAAGAUAAGGAAAUGAAACAGGAGAUGAUCUAGGAAAAAGCAAGAGGCUGAAUGUUGGCAGUGUAGAAAAUAAGACCACAUAAUAGUGAAGGGAGCAAGACCUACUGACAGUGAGUUCUUUCAGCCAGAAGACAAGAGAAAAGCAUCGGCAGAGGAAGAAGGGCAUUGAGUUCAGUCCCUCUGUAUAACAAUAAUCACUGAGAGGACAGCUAAAGCCCACU